AGCUCCAAUAGCGUAUAUUAAAGUUGUUGCAGUUAAAAAGCUCGUAGUUGGACCUUGGGCGUUGGGGGAUGGUUGGCCGAUGGCUGGACUGUUCUCUGGGCCUUUUUGGGGGCAAGUGUUUAACAACACCCCGCCCCCACGUUACUGUGAAGAAAUUAGAGUGUUUAAAGCAGGCAUCCGCUUGAAUACGUCAGCAUGGAAUAACAGGAUAGGACCUCGGUUCUACUUGUUGGUUUGAGAGCAUUGGUAAUGAUUAAUAGGGCCAGUUGGGGGCAUUAGUAUUCAGUAGUCAGAGGUGAAAUUCUUGGAUUUACAGAAGACUAACUAGAGCGAAAGCAUUUGCCAAGGAUGUUUUCA
This 357-nucleotide ribosomal RNA is filed under the name uncultured eukaryote. RNAcentral's name for it is "SSU rRNA". It matches the Rfam family "Eukaryotic small subunit ribosomal RNA", at positions 587 to 972 of the family's 1831-position model. The record is from RNAcentral.